UGGGGAAUAUUACACAAUGGAGGAAACUCUGAUGUAGCAACGCCGCGUGGAGGAUGACACAUUUCGGUGCGUAAACUCCUUUUAUAUGGGAAGAUAAUGACGGUACCAUACGAAUAAGCACCGGCUAACUCCGUGCCAGCAGCCGCGGUAAUACGGAGGGUGCAAGCGUUACUCGGAAUCACUGGGCGUAAAGCGCGCGCAGGCGGCCCGUUAAGUUGGAUGUGAAAUCCUAUGGCUCAACCAUAGAACUGCAUCCAAAACUGAUGGGCUAGAGUCUGGGAGGGGAAGAGGGAAGUAGGGGUGUAGGGGUAAAAGCCGUAGAGAUCACUAGGAAUACCAAAAGCGAAGGCGAGAGUCUGGAACAGUACUGACGCUGAGGCGCGAAAGAGUGGGGAGCAAACAG
RNAcentral lists this ribosomal RNA (403 nucleotides) under uncultured bacterium. RNAcentral describes it as "bacterial SSU rRNA". It matches the Rfam family "Bacterial small subunit ribosomal RNA", at positions 355 to 775 of the family's 1533-position model. The record is from RNAcentral.